GUAUAGAAGUAAAGACUGAGGUAAAUUUAGGGUAGUUCCGCCCAUAGGACUUAUGUAACGGUGCGAUAACUCUGUUAUGCAUCUUUGCCAUCUUUUUAUUGGCUUCGUCAAUAAAAAUAAGUACUAAUAUGCGGAUGACAUACAACAGCAAUGCUGUCACUUCUGUUCAUUUCAUCUGUACAUUAAUUUGUUCAUAAAAUGACCGUGCGGCCAGAAGUUUCUCGUGCGCCACCUUAACAAGCCAUCUAUUUCUCCUUCACUUCUCUGCAUUUGACAAGAGUUGGCCUUCUAAGGGGCCCUGAACCACCUUUCUUUGGAGCCUCCCAAGCCGUCGAGUCCAACGGGAAGAAAAAAGUGGGCAAAGGUUUCGGCAUAGUGUUGAGCACUCUGUCGACGAUUUUGAGCAGCAAAGAAGCUGUCACCAUUUGUGUGGCAUGUGGCGUAAAAAGCGACAGAAAGAAGCUGCGAGCCUCCACUUUCAAAGCUGUAGAGAAGGCGGUCUUCAAGUAUUCUUUGGAUGCAAGUGCAAGCGGCACUACUGUGACAGGACCAGUGUUGCAAAGCAAAGUUAGAGACUUUGCGAGCAUUAUGGGGCACGACGAUUUUGUGGCGAGCGUCAGCUGGCUGCAGUGUUUCAAGGAGCGCCACGACAUCGUCGGCAGGGCUCUCACCGGGGAAGCGCAGUCUGCCGACCGUGAAGCUGCAGUGGCGUGGGUGAAGACAAACGUUGGACAGCUGCUAGAAAACUACAGUGCCAAGGAUUUGUUCAACGUGGAUGAGACAGCCCUGUUCUACCAGAUGCUGCCGCAAAAAACGUUGGCCCUCAAAGGUGAACGCUGUUAGGGUGGUAAGCAGUGCAAGGUCCAAGUAACCAUGUUGCUUUGUGCCAACAUAGAUUGAUUAGAAAAGGUGCUGGCCUUCGUGGUUGGCAAAAGUGAAUCCCCAUGAUGCUUCAAAGGCAAAUGAAAGCUCCAAGUGAGUUAUGUGUCUAACCGUAAGGCUUGGAUGGCGAGAGAAAUUUUUGCACAAUGGCUGUGGGAGUGGGACAAGCGGCUGGGCAAGCUGAACUGGAAGACAUGCCUCGUACUGGACAACUGCGCAGCCCACCACACCACCACUGUGCUCAAAAACAUUGAGCUAUGCUCCUCGCCACCAAACUGCACUGCAGUUGUGCAACCCCUCGACCAAGCAGUUAUCAUGAAUUUUAAGUCGGGCUACCGCAAGCGUGUCACCGACUGGAUUCUGCUUAAUAUGAGCAGGAAAGCACGAGUCCACGAUCACCUUGUACAUCGUUAUCAAGAUGCUACAGGCUGCUUGGAUGGCUGUACAGGCAAGCACGAUCGCAAAUUGCUUCCGGCAUGCCUCAUCUGCAGUCAGCAGCGACGGUUACAGCGAAGAUCUCAGUACUGCCACCACUGAAGGUGCCGCGGACGACCAAGCCCUAGUGUCGUGAGACACUCCCCUUGCUGCCGUUGUUGCGCCUGACUGCAACACCUUCUGCAUGUACAUCAGUGCUGAUGCUGACGCGGUGACGACGGAAGAGCUAACGGAGGCUGAAAUUGUGUGCGCGGUGCCGGGGUUGCCUAAUGACGACAGAGACAAAUGUGUUGAUGACAGCUCUGAGCCUAAUAUUGGCGAACCCGAUGUACUGACGCCUGUACAAGCGCUGGAUGCGGCAGAACUACUGCGCCACUUCUUUGGCGCUCACGAUGACGGCGAGGACGGACUCGCAAUAGCGGCUGCAACUGAAAAAGCCAUCAUUCACCUGAAGAAGACGCGGCAAAAUUCUAUCAAGGACUUUUUUUCUGUGAAGUGAGCUGCCAGCUGGUGUGCUGUUGAUCGAUCAGUGAUAAACCGUUUGGCAUGAAGAAAGUAGCAAUUCCUUGCUGCCUUUU
This is a long non-coding RNA of Dermacentor albipictus, 1895 nucleotides long. RefSeq lists it as uncharacterized. The record is from RefSeq and is a predicted model, not a curated record. Lineage: Eukaryota; Metazoa; Arthropoda; Arachnida; Ixodida; Ixodidae.